This 73-nucleotide transfer RNA is filed under the name Treponema sp. Its description in RNAcentral is "tRNA-Met". It matches the Rfam family "tRNA". From Rfam's summary of the family: Transfer RNA (tRNA) molecules are approximately 80 nucleotides in length. Their secondary structure includes four short double-helical elements and three loops (D, anti-codon, and T loops). The record is from RNAcentral. Lineage: Bacteria; Pseudomonadati; Spirochaetota; Spirochaetia; Treponematales; Treponemataceae.
CGCAGGGUAGAGCAGUUGGUAGCUCAUCGGGCUCAUAACCCGGAGGUCACAGGUUCGAGUCCUGUCCCUGCUA